UAGGGAAUCUUCCACAAUGGGCGAAAGCCUGAUGGAGCAACGCCGCGUGUGUGAUGAAGGCUUUCGGGUCGUAAAGCACUGUUGUAUGGGAAGAACAGCUAGAAUAGGAAAUGAUUUUAGUUUGACGGUACCAUACCCGAAAGGGACGGCUAAAUACGUGCCAC
RNAcentral lists this ribosomal RNA (164 nucleotides) under uncultured bacterium. RNAcentral's name for it is "partial 16S rRNA". It matches the Rfam family "Bacterial small subunit ribosomal RNA", at positions 355 to 511 of the family's 1533-position model. The record is from RNAcentral.